RNAcentral lists this long non-coding RNA (528 nucleotides) under Nicotiana benthamiana. Its description in RNAcentral is "long non-coding RNA (NBEN_LNC038995)". The record is from RNAcentral. Lineage: Eukaryota; Viridiplantae; Streptophyta; Magnoliopsida; Solanales; Solanaceae.
CCGCCACUUGAAUCAUGCAAACUUUAGCUCAUCGAUGAUCAUAACUUCAUUCGGAAAAAGAUAGAAAUAGAGUAUUUAUGGUCUUUGCGAAGGCAAGUAUCCAUCCAUUUGGGUUGGGUGCCCGGCAGUGAGCUUCUGACUUACCUUUUAAUUCCCUCUUCCGCAUGUCUCAAUUCUCUCUUCAUUUUAUUCUAUCAUAGAUGAUAGCUGGUUUUAUUUUAAGCUUAUGUAAAUAUGUCUAGGAAGUGAAGUUUUCUUUUUUAUUUGAAGAAGGGAAUAUGUAAACAUGUACUUUAAGCGUAUUGCAAUGAUAGCUACUUUUAUUUUAAGCUUAUGUAAAUAUGUCUAGGAAGUGAAGUUUUCUUUUUUAUUUGAAGAAGGGAAUCCGUAAACAUGUACUUUAAGGGGUCGUUUGGUUGGAAUAUGACUUAUACCGGUGUAAGUUAUGCCGGUAUAAGUUGUAUUGGGAUAAGUUAUGCUGGGAUUGUUGUUUAUUCAUUGUUUGGUAUGUUGUAUUAAGAAUANNNN